RNAcentral lists this ribosomal RNA (253 nucleotides) under uncultured bacterium. RNAcentral describes it as "partial 16S ribosomal RNA". It matches the Rfam family "Bacterial small subunit ribosomal RNA", at positions 524 to 776 of the family's 1533-position model. The record is from RNAcentral.
UACGUAGGUGGCAAGCGUUGUCCGGAAUUAUUGGGCGUAAAGCGCGCGCAGGUGGUUUCUUAAGUCUGAUGUGAAAGCCCACGGCUCAACCGUGGAGGGUCAUUGGAAACUGGGGAACUUGAGUGCAGGAGAGAAGAGUGGAAUUCCACGUGUAGCGGUGAAAUGCGUAGAGAUGUGGAGGAACACCAGUGGCGAAGGCGACUUCCUGGCCUGUUCUUGACGCUGAGGCGCGAAAGCUAGGGUAGCAAACGGG